ACAUUUUAUUUUAAAUAAAAAGUCGAUUUUGUAAGUCGAAAUUGGGCUUGCCCAAGUG
This 58-nucleotide transfer RNA is filed under the name Alcedoecus sp. Its description in RNAcentral is "tRNA-Thr". The record is from RNAcentral. Lineage: Eukaryota; Metazoa; Arthropoda; Insecta; Psocodea; Philopteridae.